Molecule: long non-coding RNA, 94 nt
Organism: Hibiscus syriacus
Lineage: Eukaryota; Viridiplantae; Streptophyta; Magnoliopsida; Malvales; Malvaceae
Exons: 3
Source: RefSeq, a predicted model, not a curated record
ACAUUCCAUUAAAUCCUUUGGAAAUGAAAGAGCAGAAUCUAUGGAGAUCCAUCUAAAUUCGUAUGAAUUUUCAAUUACAUAACAAUUCCAAUCC